UUUUGUUUUCAGAGGAGUAGAAGAAAAAUCCCUGGAGCUGAUCGGUGCUGCAGUGCAUCCUUCUAACUUCGAAGAGAAAUGGGGGAAAAAAAAUCAAAAACGCAUUGGAGGUACCAGAGGGUUACAGAAAGGAAGAAGAGAACAUCGAAAUCUGCCCCAGCAGCAAUUUCGGGAAAUUCAAGUAAUGCCCCCCUGUGUGGCCCUCUGGAAUCGUACCUGGUAAGGGUAAAGGGCAGUGUGUCCUCUAUGUCUGUGCUAC
This 259-nucleotide long non-coding RNA is filed under the name Saimiri boliviensis boliviensis (Bolivian squirrel monkey). RNAcentral's name for it is "lncRNA (ENSSBOG00000036599.1)". Lineage: Eukaryota; Metazoa; Chordata; Mammalia; Primates; Cebidae. The record is from RNAcentral.